AUACGGGGGGUGCAAGCGUUAUUCGGAUUUAUUGGGCGUAAAGGGCGCGUAGGCGGCUUGGUAAGUCAGAUGUGAAAGCCCGGGGCUCAACCCCGGAAGUGCAUUUGAAACUAUCAGGCUUGAGUAUGGGAGAGGGAAGUGGAAUUCCUGGUGUAGAGGUGAAAUUCGUAGACAUCAGGAGGAACACCGGUGGCGAAGGCGACUUCCUGGACCAAUACUGACGCUGAGGCGCGAAGGCGUGGGGAGCAAACAGGAUUAGAAACCCGAGUAGUCC
This 274-nucleotide ribosomal RNA is filed under the name uncultured bacterium. RNAcentral's name for it is "partial 16S ribosomal RNA". It matches the Rfam family "Bacterial small subunit ribosomal RNA", at positions 523 to 796 of the family's 1533-position model. The record is from RNAcentral.